CAGUAGCCGCGGGAAAACAGAGGGUGCAAGCGUUAAUCGGAAUUACUGGGCGUAAAGCGCGCGUAGGUGGUUUGUUAAGUUGGAUGUGAAAGCCCCGGGCUCAACCUGGGAACUGCAUCCAAAACUGGCAAGCUAGAGUAUGGUAGAGGGUGGUGGAAUUUCCUGUGUAGCGGUGAAAUGCGUAGAUAUAGGAAGGAACACCAGUGGCGAAGGCGACCACCUGGACUGAUACUGACACUGAGGUGCGAAAGCGUGGGGAGCAAACAGGAUUAGAUACCCCAGUAGUCCCUGUCUCUUAUAC
Molecule: ribosomal RNA, 301 nt
Filed under: uncultured bacterium
Lineage: Bacteria
Description: partial 16S ribosomal RNA
Rfam family: Bacterial small subunit ribosomal RNA
Source: RNAcentral